Scaptodrosophila lebanonensis is the source of this 79-nucleotide small nucleolar RNA. RefSeq annotates it as small nucleolar RNA Me28S-Cm3227. The record is from RefSeq and is a predicted model, not a curated record. Lineage: Eukaryota; Metazoa; Arthropoda; Insecta; Diptera; Drosophilidae. The transcript has a single exon.
AUUAUCAUGAUGAAAAUUCUAUACUGAAAACAUCUUUGCUGAUCACCAAAAGAAAAACCAAAAGGAUUCUGAAAACAAU